AGGAGACUUUCAUAAUUGGUAAUAUGAGCUGGGCUGUAAACUCAGUAGCUGCAAGCUUUCAAGAGUUCGAGUCUCUUGUCUCCUA
The sequence is a transfer RNA, 85 nucleotides long. It matches the Rfam family "tRNA". From Rfam's summary of the family: Transfer RNA (tRNA) molecules are approximately 80 nucleotides in length.